GACGAACGCUGGCGGCGUGCUUAACACAUGCAAGUCGAACGGAAAGGCCCUGCUUUUGUGGGGUGCUCGAGUGGCGAACGGGUGAGUAACACGUGAGUAACCUGCCCUUGACUUUGGGAUAACUUCAGGAAACUGGGGCUAAUACCGGAUAGGAGCUCCUGCUGCAUGGUGGGGGUUGGAAAGUUUCGGCGGUUGGGGAUGGACUCGCGGCUUAUCAGCUUGUUGGUGGGGUAGUGGCUUACCAAGGCUUUGACGGGUAGCCGGCCUGAGAGGGUGACCGGCCACAUUGGGACUGAGAUACGGCCCAGACUGCUACGGGAGGCAGCAGUGGGGAAUAUGGCACAAUGGGCGGAAGCCUGAUGCAGCAACGCCGCGUGCGGGAUGACGGCCUUCGGGUUGUAAACCGCUUUCGCCUGUGACGAAGCGUGAGUGACGGUAAUGGGUAAAGAAGCACCGGCUAACUACGUG
Molecule: ribosomal RNA, 468 nt
Filed under: uncultured bacterium
Lineage: Bacteria
Description: partial 16S ribosomal RNA
Rfam family: Bacterial small subunit ribosomal RNA
Source: RNAcentral